Molecule: non-coding RNA, 638 nt
Organism: Peromyscus maniculatus bairdii (prairie deer mouse)
Lineage: Eukaryota; Metazoa; Chordata; Mammalia; Rodentia; Cricetidae
Source: RefSeq, a predicted model, not a curated record
CCUCCUCCUCCUCCAAUGUGGCUGAGAGUGGACCGAGUCAACUUCCUGAGAGUCCGAAAAGGCAGCCUGCGUGGUAGCGUGGGACGAGGGGUGUCUGGCGCUAACGGGGAUCUUGAAACCGACCGUUAAGGAAGAAGAGAACGACCUCUGAAGAGUAGCAGAGACAGAACAAAGAGAAACGAGAGAAUAAAGAAGUCACUGGGGAAGUAUAUGGUGUAGAUAGUAGGAGUCACCUGCAUUGGGGGUAGCUGCUGUGGAAAUAAAAGAUGAAAGAGUCCAGGGUACUUGGGGGGGGACAGACCCAGGUGAACAAAGGUAGACACAAGGUAACUCCAGGUCAUUUCCUUGAGCAACUAGGAGGGUGGUGAUAGCAUCUAGUGCAAAGGCAACUAGAGAAACGCCAGAGCCUCUGACUGGAACCCAGGUGUCUCUCCAACUAGCCUGUAAAACCUCCCAUCCCCCUAAUCCUGCGAUCAAGGCUUAGUUAAAUUCUGCUAAUUUCAUCAUAUCCCAAGAAACAUUUGCAGAACUUAGAACCAGUUGCUAGGGACCUGAAGUCGACUGUCUCUUGAAGAGAGCGAACUAAGCCAUUCGGCAACAGUGGAACAAAUGUCACAAUAAAAAGAAGCUUAAAGCAA